AUGUGCCAGAAUUUUAAGAGCAAAAUAUUUUCCGGGGGCAACCUCCUUACGUGCAGCUUAAAGAAGGGCAGCUCUUACACCUGGCAGAGCAUUUGGGGUGGUAUUCAGACCUUCAAGAGAGGUCAUAUAUGAAGAGUAGGAGAUGGGUCUCAAAUAAAUAUAUGGGAGGACUCUUGGGUACCAAGCAGCCCCACUCGGAAAGUCAUGACACCAAGGGCGAACAUUGUAAUUACCAAGGUGUCGGAACUCAUCGAUGUGGAUAAUAGAGCUUGGGAUGAACAAUUAAUUAAUGAUCUAUUUUGACCAAUUGAUGCACAACGUAUCCUCAACAUUCCUUUGGCUUUAGGGAUGAUGGAUGAUUUUGUUUCUUGGCAUUUUAACAGAAGCGGAAAUUUUACGGUGAGGUCAGCGUAUCAUGAAGAAUGGGAACACCAACACGGACGAAAGUUGAGGAUGACAAAUUCGAUACAAGCCUCAAGUACUAGUCCAGUUUGGAGGACCAUUUGGAAACUACGUGUGCCUUUAAAAGUGAAAAUUCAUGUGUGGAAAACUUUGCUUGGAGCUCUUCCAUGCCAAGGAGUCUUAGCGAACAGACAUAUAGUUUCGAGUUCUCAAUGCCCCUUAUGCAGUUCAGAUUGUGAAAGCAUCCGACAUGCUUUAUCUUGUGCCCUCGAGUACAGGAGGUGUGGCGUUUGCUAG
Molecule: ribosomal RNA, 699 nt
Filed under: Triticum aestivum (bread wheat)
Lineage: Eukaryota; Viridiplantae; Streptophyta; Magnoliopsida; Poales; Poaceae
Description: partial small subunit ribosomal RNA
Source: RNAcentral